RNAcentral lists this ribosomal RNA (449 nucleotides) under uncultured bacterium. RNAcentral's name for it is "bacterial SSU rRNA". It matches the Rfam family "Bacterial small subunit ribosomal RNA", at positions 338 to 784 of the family's 1533-position model. The record is from RNAcentral.
CCUACGGGUUGCAGCAGUGAGGAAUAUUGGUCAAUGGAGGCAACUCUGAACCAGCCAUGCCGCGUGAAGGAUGACGGCCCUAUGGGUUGUAAACUUCUUUUAUAGAGGAAGAAACUUAUCUACGUGUAGAUAACUGACGGUACUCUACGAAUAAGGAUCGGCUAACUCCGUGCCAGCAGCCGCGGUAAUACGGAGGAUCCAAGCGUUAUCCGGAUUCAUUGGGUUUAAAGGGUCCGUAGGCGGAUUUUUAAGUCAGUGGUGAAAGCCGACAGCUCAACUGUCGAACUGCCAUUGAUACUGGAAGUCUUGAGUGUAAAUGAAGUGGGCGGAAUGAGUCAUGUAGCGGUGAAAUGCAUAGAUAUGACUCAGAACACCGAUUGCGAAGGCAGCUCACUAACAUACAACUGACGCUGAGGGACGAAAGCGUGGGGAGCGAACAGGAUUAGAUA